RNAcentral lists this ribosomal RNA (440 nucleotides) under uncultured bacterium. RNAcentral describes it as "partial 16S ribosomal RNA". It matches the Rfam family "Bacterial small subunit ribosomal RNA", at positions 338 to 795 of the family's 1533-position model. The record is from RNAcentral.
CCUACGGGAGGCAGCAGUGGGGAAUAUUGCACAAUGGGGGGAACCCUGAUGCAGCGACGCCGCGUGAGUGAAGAAGGAUUUCGGUAUGUAAAGCUCUAUCAGCAGGGAAGAAAAUGACGGUACCUGACUAAGAAGCCCCGGCUAACUACGUGCCAGCAGCCGCGGUAAUACGUAGGGGGCAAGCGUUAUCCGGAUUUACUGGGUGUAAAGGGAGCGUAGACGGCAGAGCAAGUCUGAAGUGAAAGCCCGGGGCCCAACUGCGGGACUGCUUUGGAAACUGCCCGGCUAGAGUGCUGGAGAGGUAAGCGGAAUUCCUAGUGUAGCGGUGAAAUGCGUAGAUAUUAGGAGGAACACCAGUGGCGAAGGCGGCUUACUGGACAGUAACUGACGUUGAGGCUCGAAAGCGUGGGGAGCAAACAGGAUUAGAUACCCCAGUAGUC